Molecule: non-coding RNA, 72 nt
Organism: Lodderomyces jiufengensis
Lineage: Eukaryota; Fungi; Ascomycota; Pichiomycetes; Serinales; Debaryomycetaceae
Source: the annotation of a RefSeq genome assembly
CAGAUUGUCUCGUAAUGGUAUCGAGCCUACAUUGGGUGUAGGAUUUUGAGGGUUCAAGUCCUUCCAAUCUGA